This 395-nucleotide ribosomal RNA is filed under the name uncultured bacterium. Its description in RNAcentral is "partial 16S ribosomal RNA". It matches the Rfam family "Bacterial small subunit ribosomal RNA", at positions 523 to 918 of the family's 1533-position model. The record is from RNAcentral.
AUACGUAGGGUGCAAGCGUUAAUCGGAAUUACUGGGCGUAAAGCGUGCGCAGGCGGUUUUGUAAGACAGUGGUGAAAUCCCCGGGCUCAACCUGGGAACUGCCAUUGUGACUGCAAGGCUGGAGUGCGGCAGAGGGGGGUGGAAUUCCGCGUGUAGCAGUGAAAUGCGUAGAUAUGCGGAGGAACACCGGUGGCGAAGGCAAUCCCCUGUGCCUGCGCUGAUGCUCAUGCACGAAAGCGUGGGGAGCAAACAGGAUUAGAUACCCUGGUAGUCCACGCCCUAAACGAUGUCAACUGGUUGUUGGGGAUUUAGUUUCUCAGUAACGAAGCUAACGCGUGAAGUUGACCGCCUGGGGAGUACGGCCGCACGGUUAAAGCUCAAAUGAAUUGACGGAG